GACGAACGCUGGCGGCGCGCCUAACACAUGCAAGUCGAGCGAGAACCGGGGCUUCGGCCCCGGGGAAAGCGGCGAACGGGUGAGUAACACGUGGGUAACCUGCCCUCGGCACCGGGAUAGCCCGGGGAAACUCGGAUUAAUACCGGAUGGCCUUCCGUGCCCUCGGGCGCGGAAGAAAAGGUAGCUUCGGCUUCCGACCGAGGAUGGGCCCGCGGCCGAUUAGCUAGUUGGCGGGGUAACGGCCCACCAAGGCGA
This 255-nucleotide ribosomal RNA is filed under the name uncultured Actinomycetes bacterium. RNAcentral's name for it is "uncultured actinobacterium partial 16S ribosomal RNA". It matches the Rfam family "Bacterial small subunit ribosomal RNA", at positions 28 to 276 of the family's 1533-position model. Lineage: Bacteria; Bacillati; Actinomycetota; Actinomycetes. The record is from RNAcentral.